GGACUUUGAUGCUCCUUCUCCUGAGCUUGAUGAACUCAAUUCUCCUCGUACUCUUAAUUCUGUUGUUGCUGUUAUUCGGCGAUUUGGUUCUGCCAUAUUUCCGUCAGGGGGAUUAUUGGAGAUGGGGUCAUGGAAGCCAUAGUAGCCUUGGAAUGGCACCAUUUUUUUCUCUUAAUUUGGAUGUGAAAAAUGAGAGAUGGAUAAAAAGGAAAGAAAUAUGAAGUUAGUUUAAUGAGUUUAAUGGAAGAUUUCUAUGUGUGAGAGAAUUAUCUCCAUUCAAGCAAAUCAUUAAAGAGAAGCGAAAUAAUUAGGGAGAGAAGAUGUGGGGAGAUUGAGAAU
This 339-nucleotide long non-coding RNA is filed under the name Panax ginseng (ginseng). RNAcentral describes it as "long non-coding RNA (PGIN_LNC005150)". Lineage: Eukaryota; Viridiplantae; Streptophyta; Magnoliopsida; Apiales; Araliaceae. The record is from RNAcentral.